ACCUGUCUCGGAUUGAAAUGGAUCACAGAGCUGCUCAUUCUGUUCCUGCGCUGAGGCUUCUUUCCGAACUGGUUCUAGACAUAGAGAACCUCGACAUUCGAAGUGCAGCAACACGAGCAUUCGGAUCGAUACCUAGUUCUAGGAUGCGGGGGCGUCUUUUCCGAGUGAUAUAUUCGAAGAAUACUUGCGGAUGGAAUUCGUUGCGUUGCUGGAGUCAAAAUGAUUCGCGGAGUGUCAUCGAAGAUGCGUUCGUAAAAUAUCCGAUAUCAUUAAGCAAUGGAUAUGUACGAGCCUCCAGUGUGCGCCUGUGCUGAUGUGCAGCAUCCCCGUACCGUACACUCUUCAAGAUCCCUGUCUGGGUAUCUCAUGGAGAAUCGCGGGCGCUGUGAUUCCGGUCGAUUGAUGGACAAUGAUAGAUACUCGACGUCGCCUGCGCACGACUGCCUCACAAGAUCUUAUCGCAAGUUCAGUGCAACGCUCGCGUCCAAUAGCCGAUUCCGUUCGAAAAGCAAAUCCUCCUGUCUCGAUCGCGAUCGACGAAGCGGGACGCUGCACCGAGGUGACGCCCCCGACGGGAUACGUCCCGAGACGAUCCCGUCUCUCCAGGCUGCAUAGACAAGUAUCUUGGACCGGGACUCGAGUCAUCGGAGGUACCGCUGCCGGUGGAUCGAGCGUCACUGCUCGGCACAAGCGAGGAGCGUAGACGGAUCAACGUAUCGCGACUUGACCUGUUGCCAGGGCUCCUCUUUCGGUGCUCGGUUCGUCACGUACAACAUCGCGUUCCACGAAUCAUCGAUCGAAAGGGAGUGCGUUCGCUCGCACGUGUAUCGGUCGGAUUACGUGCCGCUGGGAUCGCAAAGAACAAGCACGUGAUCACAGUGUACGGCAAUGCCGGCGGUUACGGACGAGGGCAUCGACGGUAUCCUUGGGUACUCGUCGAGGGCAUGCAGCGCUCGAUGAUGCAAGUAUUCGUGCGCCACUGGGCGGCUCUCGGAGGAGGAGUAGGGAGCGUGCUGGGCACCAGACGGCACCAGACCACAGCCAGGUAUCGACGAUGCCAGGAGCACAGCGAGGCUCUAUACGAAGAAGAUGAAAAUAGCAAGCGAGGCUUCGGUCGGAGCUUUCGCCUGUCUUUGGAAUACGUUGAAAGCAGCGUGAAGCAAUGAGGUAAGGACUUGAACGGUAGGGACAAUAUCCGUCCACUCCUGAUUAUUGAUCUGGAGGCAAAGGAGAGACCAGCGUAUUGAAAGCGGGGUAGCCGACAGGCGAAAAGGAGGAAUUCGCAGGAAAAGCGCUCAGAGGCUUGUGUGCGCAGCAAUGGGGGAAGCGACCCAAACUUUCGUACGUAUGACCGACUUGCUGACAAGACCUGUUCCCCUUUAUUCUGCGAUGGUUGUCAGAGCAGUGAUAAUUGAAACCUGCCGAAACCCUUCCGGAUUGUUACCUACGAAAAGCUCUACUCACGCUCCCAUAGAUCGUUCGUCUGUAAAGCAUCCGCAA
Molecule: RNA transcript, 1500 nt
Organism: Cyanidioschyzon merolae strain 10D
Lineage: Eukaryota; Rhodophyta; Bangiophyceae; Cyanidiales; Cyanidiaceae
Exons: 1
Source: RefSeq, a predicted model, not a curated record